CAUUAAGAAGCUAAGAGCACUAGCCUUUUAAGUUAGAGAUUGGGAAUCUUAACUUCCCCUUAAUGA
RNAcentral lists this transfer RNA (66 nucleotides) under Murina shuipuensis. Its description in RNAcentral is "tRNA-Lys". It matches the Rfam family "tRNA". From Rfam's summary of the family: Transfer RNA (tRNA) molecules are approximately 80 nucleotides in length. Their secondary structure includes four short double-helical elements and three loops (D, anti-codon, and T loops). The record is from RNAcentral. Lineage: Eukaryota; Metazoa; Chordata; Mammalia; Chiroptera; Vespertilionidae.